GGAUCAGUGGUGUAGAAGGUCUGCACAUUUGUCUGAAAAGCAAAAGGGAACCGUUCAAUUCGGUUUUGAUCCACAA
RNAcentral lists this transfer RNA (76 nucleotides) under Chryseobacterium shigense. RNAcentral describes it as "tRNA-Phe". It matches the Rfam family "tRNA". From Rfam's summary of the family: Transfer RNA (tRNA) molecules are approximately 80 nucleotides in length. Their secondary structure includes four short double-helical elements and three loops (D, anti-codon, and T loops). RNAcentral also lists the same sequence under 5 other names. The record is from RNAcentral. Lineage: Bacteria; Pseudomonadati; Bacteroidota; Flavobacteriia; Flavobacteriales; Weeksellaceae.